RNAcentral lists this ribosomal RNA (356 nucleotides) under uncultured bacterium. RNAcentral's name for it is "bacterial SSU rRNA". It matches the Rfam family "Bacterial small subunit ribosomal RNA", at positions 30 to 392 of the family's 1533-position model. The record is from RNAcentral.
UGAACGCUGGCGGCAGGCCUAACACAUGCAAGUCGAGCGGAUGAAAGGAGCUUGCUCCUGGAUUCAGCGGCGGACGGGUGAGUAAUGCCUAGGAAUCUGCCUGGUAGUGGGGGACAACGUUUCGAAAGGAACGCUAAUACCGCAUACGACCUGGUGAAGCAGGGACCUUCGGGCCGUUGCGCGGAUAGAUGAGCCGAUGUCGGAUUAGCUAGUUGGCGGGUAAAGGCCCGACCAAGGCGACGAUCCGUAGCUGGUCUGAGAGGAUGAUCAGCCACACUGGAACUGAGACACGGUCCAGACUCCUACGGGAGGCAGCAGUGGGAAGUAUUGGACAAUGGGCGCAAGCCUGAUCCAGC